UUUCUUAUUACAUCAUCAUAUACAUGUGACAUACGGGCCUAAUAGGCCAACAUGAUCCUUUAUAAAUUCAAAACAUAGGCCGACAAGGCCGUACAAUCUUUCACGUACACGAUAUAUGUCUACAAGCCUCUAAGAGUAUAUAAAUGUCAUAAAGGUCGGGACAGAGUCCCGCCAUACCAAAUGAUACACGUCUAAAUCAUACUAACCAAACAUGCAACUCCAAAGCAAAUGGAGCGCACCAACAUCUCCCGUUGAGCUGAUAGCCUACUUGGAGGGCUCUCGACCCAUCUAUUUAGACCUGCGGGCAUGAAAGGCAGCAUCCCCAGGCAAAAAGGGAUGUCAGUACGAAUAAUGUACUGAGUAUGUAAGACACAUAAAUAAGUACAUGACAGACACAGAGGAAAUAUAAAGUAAAUGACUCCACCUGUAAGUCUGAAUAACUUUGUAACUCAUGAAACAAUUAUAGUAUCAUGCAUAUGCGUAUGAAUGUCAUGUCGUGUAUAGGUAGAUGUUUAAUAUCAUCAGCCUCUGAGGGCAUCCCAUCAUAUCAUAUCAGCCACUAUGGGCAAAAUCAUCAUUUUAUACCAGCCGAUCAGGUGGUGAUGCGUAUAUAACGCCAUAACCUUUCCCAUAUCCCAUAUACAUAUAUAUACAUACAUAUAUACGCGUAUAUAACGCCAUUUGAAAAAUAUUUCAGCUACUGUGGGUAACAUCAUCAUCAUAUACCAGCUAAUCAGGUGGUGCGUAUAUAACGCCGUAACCUUUUUCCAUAUCCUAUAUACAUAUAUUUACAUAUAUACGCAUAUAUAACGCCAUCUGGUCAUGGGUCAAUGCACUUGUAUAAAUGAGUAAAAUGCAUGAAAAAUACAUAAUAAUCUCGAUAUUUCCUUCCGGAUAAAUUUUUCCAACUUGCGUGUUAUUCUGAGACCCAUGAACAGAAGAUAAUAAUAAUUCUCAUGGGGAAUCAAGAAUAUAGACACCCCUACUGUUUCUAUGAAUAGAGUAAUUUAUAGAAAUUGUGUAUUUGCUCGUUUCUUCAGUAAAAUUUGGACCAUGCCAAAAGAAAAAAGGGAGGGCCUUAACAUACCUGUCCCUGAAAUUAUUUGAACGAAUGUGCUUCUGCGAAAUUUACACACGAAAUUUGGCUUUGGAUUUUUGUUGAAAUUUUGGACGAACUGCUUCUGUUCUUGCUUUAGAACUGGAGGAAUGGUUUUAAACCAACACUUGACUCCAAUGUUUUUUGAAACUUUGUUGAAGCUUUUGUUUUUAAGGUAUUGAUUUCAAUUCAAAGAAUGAAUUGAAGCUUCUAAUUCUCGUUUUUCCUACCUUCAGAAAGUA
This 1338-nucleotide long non-coding RNA is filed under the name Nicotiana tabacum (common tobacco). RNAcentral's name for it is "long non-coding RNA (NTAB_LNC014837)". Lineage: Eukaryota; Viridiplantae; Streptophyta; Magnoliopsida; Solanales; Solanaceae. The record is from RNAcentral.